RNAcentral lists this ribosomal RNA (650 nucleotides) under uncultured archaeon. RNAcentral's name for it is "bacterial SSU rRNA". It matches the Rfam family "Archaeal small subunit ribosomal RNA", at positions 152 to 803 of the family's 1478-position model. The record is from RNAcentral.
UCAAAAAGAACUUUAUGCCUGGAAUGGUUUAUGUUUCAAAUAAUUUAUUGCCGUAGGAUGGGACUGCGGCCUAUCAGUUUGUUGGUGAGGUAAUGGCCCACCAAGACUAUUACAGGUACGGGCUCUGAGAGGAGUAGCCCGGAGAUGGGUACUGAGACACGGACCCAGGCCCUAUGGGGCGCAGCAGGCGAGAAAACUUUGCAAUGUGCGAAAGCACGACAAGGUUAAUCCGAGUGGUUUCUGCUAAAGGAACCUUUUGUCAGUCCUAGAAACACUGAUGAAUAAGGGGUGGGCAAGUUCUGGUGUCAGCCGCCGCGGUAAAACCAGCACCUCAAGUGGUCAGGAUGAUUAUUGGGCCUAAAGCAUCCGUAGCCUGCUUUGUUAGUUUUCGGUUAAAUCCAUACGCUCAACGUAUGGGCUGCCGGGAAUACUGCAAAGCUAGGGAGUGGGAGAGGUAGACGGUACUCGGUAGGAAGGGGUAAAAUCCUUUGAUCUAUUGAUGACCACCUGUGGCGAAGGCGGUCUACCAGAACACGUCCGACGGUGAGGGAUGAAAGCUGGGGGAGCAAACCGGAUUAGAUACCCGGGUAGUCCCAGCUGUAAACUAUGCAAACUCAGUGAUGCAUUGGCUUGAUGCCAAUGCAGUGCUG